GAGAAACAUCAGGAAUAAUUCUUGGCUUCAAGAAUCUCAGUUUUUAAUUGCAACAAGACUAGUGAGUAAAAUUAAAGUUAAGUGAUCAGUUUGUACAGAAUAUAAAGAACUACCAAAUUUUCUUGGAGAUCAAGGACAGAGAAGUUCAUCUGAUCAGUUUGAGCAAUGUUUACUGUGAGUACAAGAUUGAUGGGGCAUCCCUGAUGGAGUGAAAGAUACCAAACACCAGGCCUGGAUGGCCAGGGAAUAGGCUGCCCACAAGAGGAGGAAGGCACAGGAGGAAGGCCUCUGGUCUGUGUGGGAACAGGAAGAAGAGCAAUCAGGUUGGAAAGGAAGUUUCAGAGAUGAAGAUUUGGAGAGGACCUGGGAGAUCUGGAAUUAAUCUCAGAUCAUCCAUUUGAAAUGCUAUCUGGAGCAAGCUUCUCUUUUUGAGGGCUCAGAUUCCUUUGUGAAAAAUGGCACCUGUUACUUAGAGGCUUCUGAUGGAUUGAGCGUCUUAUAGGAGCCGAUUAAGGCAAGUGGUGAAGGACUCAAAGGUAAGAGGGUGAGCUUGGUGGCCUAAUGGGAGUGACCAGAGACCUCUCAUCCUUUUCACCCUGUGAGGAGACAGCAAGAAGGCACUGUCCACAAGCCAGAAGGUAAA
Long non-coding RNA from Heterocephalus glaber (naked mole-rat), 643 nucleotides. RefSeq lists it as uncharacterized. The record is from RefSeq and is a predicted model, not a curated record. Lineage: Eukaryota; Metazoa; Chordata; Mammalia; Rodentia; Bathyergidae.